This 76-nucleotide transfer RNA is filed under the name Gammaproteobacteria bacterium. RNAcentral's name for it is "tRNA-Thr". It matches the Rfam family "tRNA". From Rfam's summary of the family: Transfer RNA (tRNA) molecules are approximately 80 nucleotides in length. Their secondary structure includes four short double-helical elements and three loops (D, anti-codon, and T loops). RNAcentral also lists the same sequence under 2 other names. Lineage: Bacteria; Pseudomonadati; Pseudomonadota; Gammaproteobacteria. The record is from RNAcentral.
GCCGGAGUAGCUCAGUCGGUAGAGCAACUGAUUCGUAAUCAGUAGGUCGGGUGUUCGAUUCACCUCUCCGGCACCA